Equus asinus (donkey) is the source of this 2431-nucleotide long non-coding RNA. NCBI's taxonomy places the organism in Eukaryota, Metazoa, Chordata, Mammalia, Perissodactyla, Equidae. The record is from Ensembl.
GGUGGGGCCGCCGUAGGGACCCGGACCCGGGGUCGCCAGCCCGGGUGGGCCGGGUCACGUGGGCCCCGCCGGGCUGCAGAGCGCCGGGGGCGGGGCGGCGAGGGGCAGCGGGAGGCCAUUUUGGGGGCGUAGUGGCCGCCCGUGACCGCCCCCGCCCGGGCCCCGGCUCCCGCCCCGCGAGCCGCCCGCCGGAGCAUCUUCUCGCCUGAGCAGAAAACAUCUCUCCGGUCCCCCGACGUCAGAGCCUCCUCCACCUCGGGUCGUCUCCUUUUCCCCAGCCUGAGCCAGAACCCCAAUCUAGGAUUCUCUGUCCCCUGGCCUCCACUGACACUGAAUAAUGAGACACUUGCCUCACUGCCCUACUGCCAGGAGGCAGCAGCAAUCUACCUGAGAGGCACAGGUGUGGGCAGGAGCCUGGGUCCUUCUUCUGGCUUGUUUCAAAUCACUGGAUGAUCUUAUGUCACCUCAUUUUCUGCACUCUUAAUAUGACCCCCUUGACGCAGUCUGAGGCCACAGAUCACGAUGACAAGAGGAAAUUAUCAGUAAGAAAAGACGGCUCUUAACCCAAGCCCACUCCAGGGUUCAGAAGACCUCGGGCCCGGCCCUCAAUGCCCCGGCCGCCAGCGCCCUCUCCCGGGCGGCGGGCACACAGCAGAGGCGCGCAGGCCGACGCUGCCUUUUCCCGGACUUCAGGACUUUCUCCUCCCGCCGCUCGGCUUCCUUUACUCCCGCCGCGUCCCGCCCGCAGCCGGCGCCUCCGCCCCCGCGCGCCGCCCUGCCCCGGGCGUUCGCGGCUUCCGAGGCCCGGCCCGGCCCGGCCGCCCACCCACCGGCACGUCAAACGCCCUCAUUUCCCUUGAAAAGUUUCUAGACGGUAGGGACUCUUUUCUCCUAAUGUAACCUUCCACCAAACUGGAGGGAAAAGUUACCCGAGGCCGGAGAAGGGCUGGGGCGCCGGGGGAGUCGCGGGAGCCUGGGCUCUAGAAACACGUCUCCCUUCCGGGAAAAUGAAUAAUUGGGCCCUCAAGCCAGAGUUUUGUUUGAUGGGUUAAUUGUAAAAGGUGUAUGGUGAUGCUAAAUAUUUAAGAUGAAGAUUUAAGAAAAAAUAGAUUCCACUAGACAAAUGGUUCUUGUCUUCAGACCUUGCAGUCCCGUUGUACCGAUUCUCAUGUUAUCCGUCUCUCUCUCCUCUGGCUCCCAAACCGUUAGGUUCCCCUGCAGGGCAAACAAGGUCCCCUGGGAAUGACUGUUUAAAUCAUGGAGACAACAGUCAAACCUAGAAACUGCUCUUUUAGGCGGUUUGCUGACUUCUAUCCGCAUUCAGGAUAGGUAAACCAGCCUGCAGAAGUAUAUAAUGAUUAGGAAAACCCACUACCUUGUAUUUUUCAAAUGGUGGGUGACAAAUCAGUUUGACAAAGGAGCAUUAGAGAGGGAAAAAGGGAAAGAAGGAGCCAGAAUAAAAGAACAGGAAAAUAUUUACAUAGUAAGGAUCAAUAUUAUUUCAUGAAACCUGUAUCCUAAGAGAAUACCGAAUGUGUGUUUGUGUUUAUUGAUUCGAGAUAGAGAAUGUAUCUCUUCCUGUGGGUUGCUGUCAAAAAAUGUUUGAAAACCACUGCACCAGACAGUGGAAUUAUUUUAGGAUGCUGAGAUUGGAAAGAUUUGGAAAGUCAUCUAAUUAAUUCCUCUACGCUUAGACAGUGUUUCAUUUAAAGAAUAGUACAGACUUUAUCUUUCUUGCUUAUCAUCUUCCCAUCUCAACAUCUGUAUUAACGAUUUAUGAAUAGUUUGUUUCUUUAAAGCUAUUAUUUCGGUAAAGAAAGCUAUAACCUAAAAUAUGAAGGCAGUUCUGCCAAACUCCUCUUUUUCUGCGGCUUCUCUUCUACCUUGUGACCCCAGGACCUCCAACCCAUUCCAAAUGUGCCAGAAAGCGCUGCCUCCAGGGCAGUCCCAGGAAGCCAGGUGGCUGGAAUAUCGUGUAAUCAAGUACUCCCGUGGAUCUAUUUUAUUUUUAUUUUUAAAUAAAUAUUUUUCUCGUUCCCCUUAUUGCUUAUUUUAAAAUUUUUAUCCUCCUUUAUAGGUGAUAUGAAAGCCUGAAGUGCUUGAAUUUGACUUUUCCCUUCUCAGUAGGAGAAGCUCUCUUUUGUGCCAACCAGGGCUAUAGUCUGUGACUGAAUUUUCUGCCUUCACUACCCCCUUUGUCCUCAUUACACACACUCACUUCAUCCUCCCCUUUUCAUUAGUUCAACAUUUGGAUUAGAAAGCCCAUGUGUAUGUGUGGUGCAGGUGCUGACAGUAGGAACAUUCUGCAUUGUCAGUAGUGGGCCAUGGCCCAACAAUAAUAAGAUAAUUAUUAUCAUUCAUUUAACAGCUAACAUAUACUCAAAACUUUUCUGUGCUGAGUAUCGUACAUGCGUUAGGUUAGUGAGCGCUC